Molecule: long non-coding RNA, 687 nt
Filed under: Cyanistes caeruleus (blue tit)
Lineage: Eukaryota; Metazoa; Chordata; Aves; Passeriformes; Paridae
Description: lncRNA (ENSCCEG00000006431.1)
Source: RNAcentral
GGAUCUCACCAGGCUUGUGUGACACCAAAUUGCUGCCCCAGGGGCGUUGGAGGAUUUCAGCGCUCUGAGUUCAAGGGAAACGGGAAAAAACCCUUUUUUGUGGAGCUCUCAAGGUUUAGCUCCCACCAGGGGCGAGUGGCUUUGUGUCCUGGGCAUUCCGAGUGCCUGAAAAUCCUCCCGAAAUUCCAAUUUCCUGCUCUUUAUUGCUCGGGGAACAUUCAGCCUAAUUGGGGGAGCAGUGGAAGGGGAAUUGCACCAGGAGGAAGAAUCCUCUCCUGGUUGCAGCCAGAAGGUGGAAUCCGCAUCUCCAAACUCUUUUCAACCCUGGGCACGUUGUUCACCAUGACCAAAAUGCUUUCCCUCAAAUGCAGGUGCCGACUCUUGGGUGCAUCCCCAGCACCUCCCCCUCAGCAGGGAGAGUCCAAGGUGGGAAUUGUGCUGGCAGGAUGGGCCCUGGGGUGUUCAAAAAACAAAAGUGGGGGAGAUAAGGAAGGCAAAGGCCACCUUGCCUUGUUUCCAGCAGCCCUGACUGCGUUGUCUCUCCGCUGAACAUCCUGCUCGGCAGCUGAGCCCUCUCCCCAGGGCUUUUCCACACCCCCUCUCCUUCCUGCAGGAGAACGUGGCUCUGCAGAUGGAGGUUGUUUGCUUUGUGGUUACGGAUCCGAGGAGAAAAUAAAAAGGGAGGGG